RNAcentral lists this ribosomal RNA (533 nucleotides) under Bifidobacterium breve. RNAcentral describes it as "bacterial SSU rRNA". It matches the Rfam family "Bacterial small subunit ribosomal RNA", at positions 161 to 704 of the family's 1533-position model. The record is from RNAcentral. Lineage: Bacteria; Bacillati; Actinomycetota; Actinomycetes; Bifidobacteriales; Bifidobacteriaceae.
UGGUAAUGCCGGAUGCUCCAUCACACCGCAUGGUGUGUUGGGAAAGCCUUUGCGGCAUGGGAUGGGGUCGCGUCCUAUCAGCUUGAUGGCGGGGUAACGGCCCACCAUGGCUUCGACGGGUAGCCGGCCUGAGAGGGCGACCGGCCACAUUGGGACUGAGAUACGGCCCAGACUCCUACGGGAGGCAGCAGUGGGGAAUAUUGCACAAUGGGCGCAAGCCUGAUGCAGCGACGCCGCGUGAGGGAUGGAGGCCUUCGGGUUGUAAACCUCUUUUGUUAGGGAGCAAGGCAUUUUGUGUUGAGUGUACCUUUCGAAUAAGCACCGGCUAACUACGUGCCAGCAGCCGCGGUAAUACGUAGGGUGCAAGCGUUAUCCGGAAUUAUUGGGCGUAAAGGGCUCGUAGGCGGUUCGUCGCGUCCGGUGUGAAAGUCCAUCGCUUAACGGUGGAUCCGCGCCGGGUACGGGCGGGCUUGAGUGCGGUAGGGGAGACUGGAAUUCCCGGUGUAACGGUGGAAUGUGUAGAUAUCGGAAAA